GGAUUGUAGCUCAGUGGUAAAAUGCUUGCCUAGCAUGUAUGGAACCCUGGGUUCAAUCCUCAACACCA
This 68-nucleotide transfer RNA is filed under the name Marmota monax (woodchuck). Its description in RNAcentral is "tRNA.Ala". Lineage: Eukaryota; Metazoa; Chordata; Mammalia; Rodentia; Sciuridae. The record is from RNAcentral.